Molecule: ribosomal RNA, 729 nt
Filed under: uncultured bacterium
Lineage: Bacteria
Description: bacterial SSU rRNA
Rfam family: Bacterial small subunit ribosomal RNA
Source: RNAcentral
AGAGUUUGAUCAUGGCUCAGACGACGCUGGCGGCAGCUUACACAUGCAAGUCGAACGCAUCCUUCGGGAUGAGUGGCAGACGGGUGAGUAACGCGUGGGAACGUCCCUUCAGUUCGGAAUAACCAGGGAAACUUGGGCUAAUACGGAUACGUGCGAGAGCAGAAAGAUUUAUCGCUGAAGGAUCGGCCCGCGUCUGAUUAGCUAGUUGGUGGGGUAAUGGCCCACCAAGGGCGAUCAGUAGCUGGUCUGAGAGGAUGAUCAGCCACAUUGGGACUGAGACACGGCCCAAACUCCUACGGAGGCAGCAGUGGGGAAUAUUGGACAAUGGGCGCAAGCCUGAUCCAGCCAUGCCGCGUGAGUGAUGAAGGCCUUAGGGUUGUAAAGCUCUUUCAGUGGGGACGAUAAUGACGGUACCCGCAGAAGAAGCCCCGGCUAACUUCGUGCCAGCAGCCGCGGUAAUACGAAGGGGGCUAGCGUUGUUCGGAAUCACUGGGCGUAAAGGGCGCGUAGGCGGCUUUGUAAGUCGGGGGUGAAAGCCUGUGGCUCAACCACAGAAUUGCCUUCGAUACUGCAUGGCUUGAGACCGGAAGAGGUUAGUGGAACUGCGAGUGUAGAGGUGAAAUUCGUAGAUAUUCGCGAACACCAGUGGCGAAGGCGGCUGACUGGUCCGGUUCUGACGCUGAGGCGCGAAAGCGUGGGAGCAAACAGGAUUAGAUACCCUAGUAGUCC